AGAGUUUGAUCCUGGCUCAGGAUGAACGCUGGCAGCGUGGAUAAGGCAUGCAAGUCGAGAGGGUUUAGACCCUCGGCAAACGGGUUAGUAACACGUAGGGAAUGUACCCAGAAGUGGGGAAUAACCCGCCGAAAGGCGGGAUAAUACUCCAUGGCCCUCGCGGUCGAAAGACCUGCGAGGUAAAGAUUUAUCGCUUCUGGAACAUCCUGCGUCCUAUCAGCUAGUUGGUAAGGUAAUGGCUUACCAAGGCAACGACGGGUAGGGGGUGUGAGAGCGCGACCCCCAACAUUGGAACUGCGACACUGUCCAAACACCUACGGGUGGCUGCAGUCGAGAAUCUUCGGCAAUGGGCGAAAGCCUGACCGAGCGACGCUGCGUGCAGGAAGAAGGCCUUCGGGUUGUAAACUGCUGUCGUGUGGGAAGAACUUUGACGGUACCACACAAGAAAGGGGCGCCUAACUUCGUGCCAGCAGGCGCGGUAAUACGAAGGCCCCGAGCGUUAUCCGAAAUAAUUGGGCGUAAAGCGUCCGCAGGUGGGAAUGCGCGUCGGCUGUAAAAUCGCAGGGCUCAACCCUGCGCUCGCAGCUGAUACGGCAUUUCUUGAGGAGCGGAGAGGUAAGCGGAAUUCCCGGUGGAGCAGUGAAAUGCGUUGAUAUCGGGGAGAACACCAAUUGCGAAGGCAGCUUACUGGCCGCCUCCUGACACUCAGGGACGACAGCGUGGGGAGCGAAGCGGAUUAGAUACCCGCGUAGUCCACGCCGUAAACGAUGCUAACUAGGCAUUGGAGGUAUCGACCCCUUCAGUGUCGAAGCUAACGCGUUAAGUUAGCCGCCUGGGUAGUACGAGCGCAAGCUUAAAACUCAAAGGAAUAGACGGGAGCCUGCACAAGUGGUGGAGCGUGUGGUUUAAUUCGAUGCUAAGCGAGGAACCUUACCAGGACUAGAAAUCUAGCUGUGGUUAACAGAAAUGUUGACGUCUUCGAGAUCGCUAGACAGGUGCUGCAUGGUUGCCGUCAGCUCGUGCCGUGAGGUGUUUCCUUAAGUGGCGAAACGAGCGCAACCCUCGUCGCGUGUUACUUUUCACGCGAGACUGCCGUGGUUAACACGGAGGAAGGCGGGGAUGACGUCAAAUCAGCAUGGUCCUCUGACGUCCUGGGCGACACACGCGCUACAAUGGUUGGGACAGCGAGCACUAAGCAAACCCGUAAGGGGGAGCAAAUCUUUAAACCCAACCCUAAGUUCGGAUUGGAGUCUGCAACUCGACUCCAUGAAGUUGGAAUCACUAGUAACCGCGGAUCAGCCUCGCCGCGGUGAAUACGUUCUCAGGCUUUGUACUCACCGCCCGUCAACUCAGAAGAGCUGACAGUACCCGAAGCUCUCCCGCUUGGGAGGACCACGGUAAGGUCAGUGAUUAGGAGUAAGUCGUAACAAGGUAACC
This 1437-nucleotide ribosomal RNA is filed under the name uncultured bacterium. Its description in RNAcentral is "bacterial SSU rRNA". It matches the Rfam family "Bacterial small subunit ribosomal RNA". The record is from RNAcentral.